GAUGAACGCUAGCGGCAGGCCUAAUACAUGCAAGUCGAACGGAUAUAUGUUUUUCGGAAUAUAUAUUAGUGGCGCACGGGUGAGUAACACGUACAUAACUUGCCCUCAAGCGGGGGAUAGCCUUGGGAAACUGAGAGUAAUACCCCAUAGAAUUAUUGGACGGCAUCGUUUGAUAAUUAAAACUACGGUGCUUGGGGAUAGAUGUGCGUCUGAUUAGCUAGUUGGUGAGGUAACUGCUCACCAAGGCGACGAUCAGUAGGGGGCGUGAGAGCGUGGCCCCCCACACGGGUACUGAGACACGGACCCGACUCCUACGGGAGGCAGCAGUAAGGAAUAUUGGUCGAAUGGAGGGAACUCUGAACCAGCCAUGCCGCGUGAAGGAAUGACGGCCCGUCCUGGGUUGGUAAACUUACUUUU
RNAcentral lists this ribosomal RNA (417 nucleotides) under uncultured bacterium. RNAcentral's name for it is "bacterial SSU rRNA". It matches the Rfam family "Bacterial small subunit ribosomal RNA", at positions 28 to 438 of the family's 1533-position model. The record is from RNAcentral.